Molecule: ribosomal RNA, 714 nt
Filed under: Triticum aestivum (bread wheat)
Lineage: Eukaryota; Viridiplantae; Streptophyta; Magnoliopsida; Poales; Poaceae
Description: partial small subunit ribosomal RNA
Source: RNAcentral
AUGCACUUUCUUCCCCGUCUUCCACUCUUCUUCCUCCUCUCUUCUUCUUCCUCCUCUCUUCUUCUUCCUCCUCUCUUCCCCAUCGUCGGCCGCACACCAUUUACCCCCGCUCACUGCUCGCCCACCCGCGCCAUCUUCCUUGCAGACGCAAAUGCGCUGGCCUUCAUGAUUCCAGGACCUGGAAUCAUACCAGCCGAUGGCACGACCCUCUUCUGUUGGAUAUUAUGUACUGUUGUUAGUUUGAAGCACUCCUCUGGUUUGAAGGUACCAUAUAACUGGAAUUACCGAUGUAAGUCGAAGAAGGAUUGGCCGGUGCUGCCGGCUGGCGUCAAGUUCGAUCCCACGGAUCAGGAGCUGAUCGAGCACCUUGAGGCCAAAGUGAGUGCUGACAGCGCGAGAUUUCAGUCUCUCAUCGAUUUCUUCAUACCAACCAUCGACAGCGAGCACGGCAUAUGCUACACCCAACCUGAGAAACUUCCAGGUAUCACACUGAGUGGCCUAAGGAAGCAUUUCUUCCAGCGCAAUUCCAGGGCGUUCAAAAGGGGCACGUGGACGUGUCGCAAGAUACAGUCGGAGUGCGGCAUGCACGCGAUGUGGCACAAGACCGACAAUACCUUGCCGGUGAUGGUCAACGGCCAGCAAGACGGGCAGCAAAAAAGGUUCUGGUACUGCACACCAACAAGAGCUUCGACCAGCAGAGGACCAACUCGGUGA